CGCUAGAUCGUUGAGGGAUUG
RNAcentral lists this microRNA (21 nucleotides) under Zea mays. RNAcentral describes it as "microRNA miR-3251". Lineage: Eukaryota; Viridiplantae; Streptophyta; Magnoliopsida; Poales; Poaceae. The record is from RNAcentral.